GAAAAGAUACCACCGGAGCACAGGGCAGCCAUGAACGGCGGCAAAGAAGAAACAGAAAACAAUAAUAACAAAAUUGAACAAAAUACAAACAGCAAAGUACUUGAUAAAGUCGGAAACGUCGUCGUUUCGAUCAACAAAGCCAAAAAUGUUGAUCAAGUUAUUUGCGCUCUUCACUCUCUCGCUGUCCGUCUUUUCCCUCUCGAUUCCUCCGCCUUUUUAGGUAGCAUUGACAAAAAAUAUAAAGAUGAGGUUAUGGGAAACGAAGUACCUUCGGUACCCGAAAGAGAUGACUGGUGGCAGGUGUUUUAUCAAAGUACCGCAUUUACAACAUUUGCUAGAGUGUUGUUAUCGGAUGUUGCUUUGAAUUGGCUAACUUGUUUCCCUGCUUCCGCAAAGAAACAUUUGUAUGAUGUGUUCUUUGUACGGGGUUGUGUUUCUGAGGUGGUACAAACUUUAGUUCCUUAUUUACAAUAUCACUCAAAUGGGCGACUUCAAACGACCAUCUGCUCAAAUACCGAGAGAUUACUUGCACUAUGCUUGCUUGAAAAUGAUGGGGUCCUCCAGCUGGCUAGAGAAUUUUCUCACAAAUCCGAAGGUAUAAAUUUUGAACAGCAUACGUCUACAAUCUCUAGAGUGGCUCAACUCAUUACAUCUGUCCCCGAUAAAGCACGAUUGGGAGCUUCCAACUUACUUUCGUCACACUUAUACGUCAAAAGGACUACGAUACAACUAAUUCAGGCAGCAGAAGAAUGGGACACAAAGGAUUAUGAUAAAUCGACUAACGUCAGCAAUAGCAAUCUGGAUGGUUUGAUGCUAUUUAUUGGGGAUGCCUUUGCGCGUAUUUGUAGACGAGGGUCUGCAGACGUUCUGUUAAGUGAAAUAAUCCCACGAAUUGUUAGUCAAGUUCAAAUCCUCCUGCAGUCCAGAUGUGACAUGAGCGAUGCUGAAACCAUAAAAUCAGAGCCUGGUUUGCGGUUUUGGUCAAAGAUAAUGGAGGCAAUUAAGGAUUCAUAUGCUGUAGAAAGAAUGUCUGAGCAGCUUUUGCAAAAGUUAGCAACUCAGAACAUUAGUGAGGUUGAAGGUUAUUGGAUUCUUUGGUUGUUGUUCCAUCAAAUUUAUGAGUUCCAAGCAUCCAUCAGGUCCAUGUUUACUGAAAGAUUUUUACUCUGGAAAGUAUUCCCUGUAUGUUGUCUAAGAUGGAUCCUUCAGUUUUCGGUUCUUCAAUGUCCUCCUGAUACUGUGCUCGAGGUCAAAAGUCAAAAUCAUGGUGAUCUAUUGGAUAUCACCAAGCGCCUUCUUGCAGUAUGGUCCAAGCGAGAGUUUGUACAGUCAGCACCAGUGGAACAACAAGCUUAUUUAACUGCAGCUGUUGGCCUUUCCUUAGAAAAGCUCAAAAAAGAAGAUUUUGAUGCUACCAAGGAUGCAAUGCACUUGAUUCUUCAAGGGGUUAGCUGUAGGCUAGAGAGCCCAUCUCAUAUUGUUCGUAAGAUGGCUAGUAGUAUUGCUCUAGUCUUUUCAAAGGUGAUUGACCCAGGCAAUCCUCUGUAUCUUGAUGAAAGUUGCACAGAGGAAACUAUUGAUUGGGAGUUCACAUCAAUGAAUGCUAACAUGGAAGGAUUGUUAAUAUCCGAUGGACAAGAAACAGAAAGUAAUCAAGAUAAGGGUCAUCCUACAUCUGAAAAGGACAAUAAGGAUGCAAGGAAAAAGAACAAGCAUAAAAUUCCAAUGGAAUUGACGUUGGUUGAUCCGGAUGAGGUUAUUGACCCUGCCACAUUGAAUAAUGAUGCUAGCUCUGAUGGAGACAACAAUGAUGAUGGUGACGAUGAUGAUACUGAGAUUUCUGAAACCUCCAGUGAGUCUUCUUUACAACCGUAUGAUUUGUCUGACGAUGAUACCGACUUGAAAAAGAACUUUGCACAGUUGAUUGAUGUUGUUGGAGCCUUAAGGAAGUCUGAUGAUGCUGACGGGGUUGAAAGAGCUCUUGAUGUUGCUGAAAAGCUUAUACGAGCAGCUCCUGAUGAACUUCCAUUCAUAGCAAGUGAUCUAGUUAGAACGCUUGUCCAGGUCCGUUGCUCGGAUUCAACUUUAGAAGGAGAAGAAGAAUCAGCUGAAGAAAAAAGGCAAAAAGCACUAGUUGCUCUAAUUGUCAAUUGUCCAUUAGGAAGCCUAGAUCCAAUAAACAAACUACUAUAUUCACCAAAUGUAGACACCAGCCAACGGAUAAUGAUUCUUGAUGUCAUGACCGAUGCCGCCGUUGAGCUUUCUCAUAUGAAGACCAGUAGACAAAAGCACAUGUCAAAAUCCCUAAUAUGGACCACUGCUGAGACCCAACCAUGGUUCUUGCCAAGUAGCAUAGGGCCUGCAGGUACAACCACUUGGAAAGAGAUAUCUGGAACCGAGUCUCCAUUGGCCAUGACGUACUCGUAUGAGAGAGACCUCCCAAGCAAAUCAGGUCAGGUCAAGAAAGGAAAAUCAAGACGAUGGAGUAGAGCAAUAAAUGCAGUACAAGAUGAUCAGGUGGAAUGGUCACAGAAUAAGUUCCCUCCGUUUGCAGCGGCGUUUAUGCUUCCAGCCAUGCAGGGAUUUGACAAAAAAAGACACGGGGUUGACUUUCUUGGCAGGGAUUUUAUAGUUCUUGGAAAGCUUAUUCACAUGCUCGGCAAUUGUAUGAAAUGUUCUGCCAUGCAUCCUGAAGCAUCUGCUUUGGCUCUUCCUUUACUGGAUAUGUUGAGUUCCAGGGAAAUAAGCCAUCAUGCAGAAGCAUAUGUUCGUAAAGCUGUCCUUUUUGCGGCAUCAUGCAUACUCUUGGCUCUUAAUCCAACUUAUGUAGCAACAGCGUUGGUUGAAGGAAGUAGUGAAAUAUCUAGAGGCCUGGAGUGGGUGCGCACAUGGGCUCUCUCCGUAGCUGAAUCAGACACUGAUAAGGAAUGCUACUUGAUGGCAAUGGCGUGUCUUCAAGUCCACUCGGAAUUGGCCCUUCAAACAUCCAGGGCUUUGGAGUCAUCUGAUAGUGUGAUCCAGGCAAGAGGUGUAAAUCUUCAAUCAAAUCUGUUGAAUGGGAAAAUUAAAAUCUCAUUGUGAAUUUCAGAUAAUACUGAAUCAACCAAAUAUAAUAUGUGACAUAUGAAUUUUUGUGGCUACCAUUGUACAUAUGAAAUUGCAUGAUGCUCAUAGGCCAUGGGAGAUGGAUGAGAGAUCAAAGCUGGUACAGAGACCACAUAUAAGCUGAGCUGAGCAAUUCAUAAGCAAAUGAGUUGAAGCAUCACAUUUGAAGGCUGUAGCUCCUUGGUUCAACACUUCAACUAUGCUUUGAUAAGUCAGAAUGGUUGACAUAUAGAGAAGGUUAAUGGCAUCAAUGGAGCAUAAUGGUCGGUCACUUGAUAGAAAUGACCGUAGUGCAAUGUAAUAAGUAGGGACUCUGUUUUUGUAAAUCUACACCAAGAUAAACUGUAGUGAAAAUUGGAAAAUCUAUUUCAGAUACGAAAACCUGCCUUAAUGGGAGCCUCUUCUAUAAUACACUAUAAAAGUUUUAGACUUUUUGUUUGAUCA
Erigeron canadensis is the source of this 3549-nucleotide RNA transcript. It is a transcript of the gene named telomere length regulation protein TEL2 homolog, with no coding region annotated. NCBI's taxonomy places the organism in Eukaryota, Viridiplantae, Streptophyta, Magnoliopsida, Asterales, Asteraceae. The record is from RefSeq and is a predicted model, not a curated record. The transcript has 15 exons.